AGAGUUUGAUCCUGGCUCAGGAUGAACGCUGGCGGCGUGCCUAAUACAUGCAAGUCGAGCGAACAGAUAAGGAGCUUGCUCCUUUGACGUUAGCGGCGGACGGGUGAGUAACACGUGGGUAACCUACCUAUAAGACUGGGAUAACUUCGGGAAACCGGAGCUAAUACCGGAUAAUAUUUCGAACCGCAUGGUUCGAUAGUGAAAGAUGGUUUUGCUAUCACUUAUAGAUGGACCCGCGCCGUAUUAGCUAGUUGGUAAGGUAACGGCUUACCAAGGCAACGAUACGUAGCCGACCUGAGAGGGUGAUCGGCCACACUGGAACUGAGACACGGUCCAGACUCCUACGGGAGGCAGCAGUAGGGAAUCUUCCGCAAUGGGCGAAAGCCUGACGGAGCAACGCCGCGUGAGUGAUGAAGGUUUUCGGAUCGUAAAACUCUGUUAUUAGGGAAGAACAUACGUGUAAGUAACUAUGCACGUCUUGACGGUACCUAAUCGGAAAGCCACGGCUAACUACGUGCCAGCAGCCGCGGUAAUACGUAGGUGGCAAGCGUUAUCCGGAAUUAUUGGGCGUAAAGCGCGCGUAGGCGGUUUUUUAAGUCUGAUGUGAAAGCCCACGGCUCAACCGUGGAGAGUCAUUGGAAACUGGAAAACUUGAGUGCAGAAGAGGAAAGUGGAAUUCCAUGUGUAGCGGUGAAAUGCGCAGAGAUAUGGAGGAACACCAGUGGCGAAGGCGACUUUCUGGUCUGUAACUGACGCUGAUGUGCGAAAGCGUGGGGAUCAAACAGGAUUAGAUACCCUGGUAGUCC
This 806-nucleotide ribosomal RNA is filed under the name uncultured bacterium. Its description in RNAcentral is "bacterial SSU rRNA". It matches the Rfam family "Bacterial small subunit ribosomal RNA", at positions 8 to 796 of the family's 1533-position model. The record is from RNAcentral.